CCUCCUGGGAAUUCCUCGUGUUGCACCCUU
RNAcentral lists this ribosomal RNA (30 nucleotides) under Chenopodium berlandieri var. zschackei. Lineage: Eukaryota; Viridiplantae; Streptophyta; Magnoliopsida; Caryophyllales; Amaranthaceae. The record is from RNAcentral.